UACAGAGGUCUCAAGCGUUUGUUUCGGGAUUCAUUGGGCGUAAAGGGUGCGUAGGCGGCGUGGAAGUCGGGUGUGAAAUCUCGGAGCUUAACUCCGAAACUGCAUUCGAUACUGCCGGUGCUUGAGGACUGGAGAGGAGACUGGAAUUUACGGUGUAGCGGUGAAAUGCGUAGAUAUCGUAAGGAAGACCAGUGGCGAAGGCG
Molecule: ribosomal RNA, 203 nt
Filed under: uncultured bacterium
Lineage: Bacteria
Description: partial 16S ribosomal RNA
Rfam family: Bacterial small subunit ribosomal RNA
Source: RNAcentral